CGAUGUGAGGAUGAUCUGGCUGAGACAUCUGUCCCUCUACUGUUUGUCAAGGUUGGUUCGGCUGAUCUGACUGGCUACGGGGGUGUCCCCUUCCACCCUCACCCCUCCAUGCACAUCCCUUCUGAAGCUGAGAACUCAGUCAAAGAGGAUGACCUUCCCCAGUAGAGGACUGUUCUUCAGUCAAGGGAUUACAAGUAGUUGUGCUGCUCUGGUUAGUGCUAUGUAGCCCAGGCUAAUCCUGAAUUCAUGGGCAUCCUCCUGCCUCAGCUUCUGGGUGCUGGGA
Molecule: small nuclear RNA, 283 nt
Filed under: Jaculus jaculus (lesser Egyptian jerboa)
Lineage: Eukaryota; Metazoa; Chordata; Mammalia; Rodentia; Dipodidae
Description: 7SK RNA (ENSJJAG00000003766.1)
Rfam family: 7SK RNA
About the family: 7SK was discovered as an abundant small nuclear RNA in the mid-70s but a possible function has only recently been suggested. Two independent studies have found that 7SK RNA binds the CDK9/cyclin T complex (known as elongation factor P-TEFb). P-TEFb activates transcription by phosphorylating the C-terminal domain of RNA polymerase II.
Source: Rfam by way of RNAcentral